This 427-nucleotide ribosomal RNA is filed under the name uncultured bacterium. RNAcentral describes it as "bacterial SSU rRNA". It matches the Rfam family "Bacterial small subunit ribosomal RNA", at positions 355 to 774 of the family's 1533-position model. The record is from RNAcentral.
UGGGGAAUUUUGGACAAUGGGCGCAAGCCUGAUCCAGCAAUGCCGCGUGCAGGAUGAAGGCCUUCGGGUUGUAAACUGCUUUUGUACGGAGCGAAAAGGUCUGCCCUAAUACGGUGGGCUCAUGACGGUACCGUAAGAAUAAGCACCGGCUAACUACGUGCCAGCAGCCGCGGUAAUACGUAGGGUGCGAGCGUUAAUCGGAAUUACUGGGCGUAAAGCGUGCGCAGGCGGUGAUGUAAGACAGAUGUGAAAUCCCCGGGCUCAACCUGGGAACUGCGUUUGUGACUGCAUCACUCGAGUACGGCAGAGGGAGGUGGAAUUCCGCGUGUAGCAGUGAAAUGCGUAGAUAUGCGGAGGAACACCGAUGGCGAAGGCAAUCCCCUAGACCUGUACUGACUCUCAUGCACGAAAGCGUGGGGAGCAAACA